CAGCCGCCGCGGUAAUACAGAGGGUGCGAGCGUUAAUCGGAUUUACUGGGCGUAAAGCGUGCGUAGGCGGCUUCUUAAGUCGGAUGUGAAAUCCCUGAGCUUAACUUAGGAAUUGCAUUCGAUACUGGGAAGCUAGAGUAUGGGAGAGGAUGGUAGAAUUCCAGGUGUAGCGGUGAAAUGCGUAGAGAUCUGGAGGAAUACCGAUGGCGAAGGCAGCCAUCUGGCCUAAUACUGACGCUGAGGUACGAAAGCAUGGGGAGCAAACAGGAUUAGAUACCCCGGUAGUCCCUUUCUCUUAUAA
Molecule: ribosomal RNA, 301 nt
Filed under: uncultured bacterium
Lineage: Bacteria
Description: partial 16S ribosomal RNA
Rfam family: Bacterial small subunit ribosomal RNA
Source: RNAcentral